Molecule: ribosomal RNA, 505 nt
Filed under: uncultured bacterium
Lineage: Bacteria
Description: partial 16S ribosomal RNA
Rfam family: Bacterial small subunit ribosomal RNA
Source: RNAcentral
GACGAACGCUGGCGGCGUGCCUAAUACAUGCAAGUAGAACGCACAGUUUAUACCGUAGCUUGCUACACCAUAGACUGUGAGUUGCGAACGGGUGAGUAACGCGUAGGUAACCUGCCUGGUAGCGGGGGAUAACUAUUGGAAACGAUAGCUAAUACCGCAUAAUAUUGAUUAUUGCAUGAUAAUUGAUUGAAAGAUGCUAUUGCAUCACUACCAGAUGGACCUGCGUUGUAUUAGCUAGUAGGUGAGGUAACGGCUCACCUAGGCGACGAUACAUAGCCGACCUGAGAGGGUGGUCGGCCACACUGGGACUGAGACACGGCCCAUACUCCUACGGGAGGCAGCAGUAGGGAAACGUCGGCAAUGGACGAAAGUCUGACCGAGCAACGCCGCGUGAGUGAAGAAGGUUUUCGGAUCGUAAAGCUCUGUUGUAAGAGAAGAACGGGUGUGAGAGUGGAAAGUUCACACUGUGACGGUAUCUUACCAGAAAGGGACGGCUAACUACGUG